GCUGUUGCCUCGGCGGGGUCACGCCCCGGGUGCGUAAAAGCCCCGGAACCAGGCGCCCGCCGGAGAAACCAACCAAACUCUUUCUGUAGUCCCCUCGCGGACGUAUUUCUUACAGCUCUGAGCAAAAAUUCAAAAUGAAUCAAAACUUUCAACAACGGAUCUCUUGGUUCUGGCAUCGAUGAAGAACGCAGCGAAAUGCGAUAAGUAAUGUGAAUUGCAGAAUUCAGUGAAUCAUCGAAUCUUUGAACGCACAUUGCGCCCGCCAGUAUUCUGGCGGGCAUGCCUGUCCGAGCGUCAUUUCAACCCUCGAACCCCUCCGGGGGGUCGGCGUUGCAGAUCGGGACCCCUCACCGGGUGCCGGCCCUGAAAUACAGUGGCGGUCUCGCCGCAGCCUCUCCUGGGCAGUAGUUUGCACAACUCGCACCGGGAGCGCGGCGCGUCCACGUCCGUAAAACACCCAACUUCUGAGAUGUUGACCUCGGAUCAGGUAGGAAUACCCGCUGAACUUAAGCAUAUCAAUAAGCGGAGGGAAAA
RNAcentral lists this small RNA (534 nucleotides) under Trichoderma hamatum. RNAcentral describes it as "eukaryotic LSU rRNA". The stretch from base 144 to 297 matches the Rfam family "5.8S ribosomal RNA". Lineage: Eukaryota; Fungi; Ascomycota; Sordariomycetes; Hypocreales; Hypocreaceae. The record is from RNAcentral.